RNAcentral lists this transfer RNA (61 nucleotides) under Streptomyces tagetis. Its description in RNAcentral is "tRNA-Ser". Lineage: Bacteria; Bacillati; Actinomycetota; Actinomycetes; Kitasatosporales; Streptomycetaceae. The record is from RNAcentral.
GCCCCUCGCACUCCCCCGGCCUCCGGAGCCGUGUGCGCAGGUUCGAAUCCUGCCGGGGGCA